AGUGAACGCUGGCGGCAGGCCUAACACAUGCAAGUCGAGCGGCAGCGGGCUGUAGCAAUACAGUGCCGGCGAGCGGCGGACGGGUGAGGAAUACAUCGGAAUCUACCUUGUCGUGGGGGAUAACGUAGGGAAACUUACGCUAAUACCGCAUACGAACUACGGUUGAAAGCGGAGGACCGCAAGGCUUCGCGCGAUUGGAUGAGCCGAUGUCGGAUUAGCUAGUUGGCGGGGUAAUGGCCCACCAAGGCGACGAUCCGUAGCUGGUCUGAGAGGAUGAUCAGCCACACUGGAACUGAGACACGGUCCAGACUCCUACGGGAGGCAGCAGUGGGGAAUAUUGGACAAUGGGCGCAAGCCUGAUCCAGCCAUGCCGCGUGUGGGAAGAAGGCCUGGUUGUAACACUUUGUCUAGGGAAGAAACGGAC
This 424-nucleotide ribosomal RNA is filed under the name uncultured bacterium. Its description in RNAcentral is "bacterial SSU rRNA". It matches the Rfam family "Bacterial small subunit ribosomal RNA", at positions 29 to 455 of the family's 1533-position model. The record is from RNAcentral.